Molecule: transfer RNA, 76 nt
Filed under: Gammaproteobacteria bacterium
Lineage: Bacteria; Pseudomonadati; Pseudomonadota; Gammaproteobacteria
Description: tRNA-Val
Rfam family: tRNA
About the family: Transfer RNA (tRNA) molecules are approximately 80 nucleotides in length. Their secondary structure includes four short double-helical elements and three loops (D, anti-codon, and T loops).
Source: RNAcentral
GGGUGUUUAGCUCAGUUGGUAGAGCAUCGCCCUUACAAGGCGAGGGUCGGGGGUUCAAGUCCCUCAACACCCACCA